Molecule: ribosomal RNA, 327 nt
Filed under: uncultured eukaryote
Lineage: Eukaryota
Description: partial 18S ribosomal RNA
Rfam family: Eukaryotic small subunit ribosomal RNA
Source: RNAcentral
CCCUUAGAUGUUCUGGGCCGCACGCGCGCUACACUGACGAAUGCAACGAGCUUAUAACCUUGGCCGAAAGGUCUGGGUAAUCUCCAAAUUUCGCCGUGAUGGGGAUAGAUUAUUGCAAUUAUUAAUCUUCAACGAGGAAUGCCUAGUAAGCGCAAGUCAUCAGCUUGCGUUGAUUACGUCCCUGCCCUUUGUACACACCGCCCGUCGCUCCUACCGAUUGAAUGGUCCGGUGAAGCGUUCGGACCGUGGCCUUUGGACGGUUCGCCGUCUGUUGGCUGCGGGAAGUUCGUUAAACCUUAUCAUUUAGAGGAAGGAGAAGUCGUANCA